CCUACGGGAGGCAGCAGUGGGGAAUAUUGCACAAUGGGCGAAAGCCUGAUGCAGCAACGCCGCGUGAGGGACGAAGGCCUUCGGGUUGUAAACCUCUUUUAGCAGGGAAGAAGCGAAAGUGACGGUACCUGCAGAAAAAGCACCGGCUAACUACGUGCCAGCAGCCGCGGUAAUACGUAGGGUGCAAGCGUUGUCCGGAAUUAUUGGGCGUAAAGAGCUCGUAGGCGGUUUGUCACGUCUGCUGUGAAAUUUCGAGGCUCAACCUCGAACUUGCAGUGGGUACGGGCAGGCUAGAGUGCGGUAGGGGAGAUGGGAAUUCCUGGUGUAGCGGUGGAAUGCGCAGAUAUCAGGAGGAACACCAAUGGCGAAGGCACAUCUCUGGGCCGUAACUGACGCUGAGGAGCGAAAGCGUGGGGAGCGAACAGGAUUAGAUACCCUGGUAGUCCACGCCGUAAACGGUGGGUGCUAGCUGUGGGCCACAUUCCACGUGGUCCGUGACGAAGUUAACACAUUAAGCACCCCGCCUGGGGAGUACGGCCGCAAGGCUAAAACUCAAAGGAAUUGACGG
This 568-nucleotide ribosomal RNA is filed under the name uncultured Actinomycetes bacterium. RNAcentral describes it as "bacterial SSU rRNA". It matches the Rfam family "Bacterial small subunit ribosomal RNA", at positions 338 to 916 of the family's 1533-position model. Lineage: Bacteria; Bacillati; Actinomycetota; Actinomycetes. The record is from RNAcentral.